CCUACGUGUGGCAGCAGUGGGGAAUAUUGGACAAUGGGGGCAACCCUGAUCCAGCAAUUCUGUGUGCACGAAGACGGUUUUCGGAUUGUAAAGUGCUUUCAGCAGGGAAGAAGUGAGUGACGGUACCUGCAGAAGAAGCGACGGCUAAAUACGUGCCAGCAGCCGCGGUAAUACGUAUGUCGCGAGCGUUAUCCGGAAUUAUUGGGCAUAAAGGGCAUCUAGGCGGCCUGACAAGUCAGGGGUGAAAACCUGUGGCUCAACCGCAGGCCUGCCUUUGAAACUGACAGGCUGGAGUACCGGAGAGGUGGACGGAACUGCAAGAGUAGAAGUGAAAUUCGUAGAUAUGUGCAGGAAUGCCGAUGAUGAAGAUAGUUCACUGGACGGUAACUGACGCUGAAGUGCGAAAGCCGGGGGAGCGAACAGGAUUAGAUACCCGGGUAGUC
RNAcentral lists this ribosomal RNA (443 nucleotides) under uncultured Leptotrichia sp. RNAcentral describes it as "bacterial SSU rRNA". It matches the Rfam family "Bacterial small subunit ribosomal RNA", at positions 338 to 795 of the family's 1533-position model. The record is from RNAcentral. Lineage: Bacteria; Fusobacteriati; Fusobacteriota; Fusobacteriia; Fusobacteriales; Leptotrichiaceae.